This is a long non-coding RNA of Aplysia californica (California sea hare), 357 nucleotides long. RefSeq lists it as uncharacterized. NCBI's taxonomy places the organism in Eukaryota, Metazoa, Mollusca, Gastropoda, Aplysiida, Aplysiidae. The transcript is spliced from 2 exons. The record is from RefSeq and is a predicted model, not a curated record.
CACCCCCGAUGAAGAAACUUUGGAUAAGCUGUACACCCAAGUGCUUGUCUCAGAAAAUGAAAAACAGCCUCUGGGCAAUGUGAGCGUGACCAAAGAGGCAGUGGCUGAGGCUGUGAGCUUCCUUGCAUCGGACGCUGCCAGAUUCCUCACAGGUCUGUGUAUGCCGGUGGAUGGUGGCAGAUCUUUCACGGGGACAUAAUUUGGGAAGUAGUCCUAGUGCUGGGGAAUCUACCUAUACAGUCACGUCCGGACUUUGGACACAGAUAGCCCGAGACAGAGUGUUUUACACAACAUUUACAAAGACCAAGAGUUGAUGGAAUUACAAUUAAACAGAAAAUUUGAAUGACUUUAAUUUUU